UAAGAUUCAUAUCUAUAUUAUCAGUGUGUAUGUAAUAUCUGUCAGACCGUUGGCGCUAACUAUUAAUCUCAAAAACUCGAGCUAUUAGAAAUAUGUAAUCAAUUCACUUAAAGUGUAAAAAUACAGCGCCCACGGAUCUCAAUUGUGACUCGGCCCACCCGGCCUCACGCCAUUUCGAUCAUGACUAGGCCUACCCAGCCUCACGCCAUUUCGAACACGACUCGGCCCAACAUGACCUCCCGCCACAGGGCAGAAUACUAGUCAAUUUAAGCCAACAAUAUCCACUUUUAUUGUUUGGUUAAUU
RNAcentral lists this long non-coding RNA (304 nucleotides) under Ananas comosus (pineapple). RNAcentral describes it as "long non-coding RNA (ACOM_LNC037259)". The record is from RNAcentral. Lineage: Eukaryota; Viridiplantae; Streptophyta; Magnoliopsida; Poales; Bromeliaceae.